GUCUUGGUAGCUCAGUUGGUAGAGCACGUGACUUUUAAUCACGGGGUCGCACAGUUCGAGCCUGGCCCGAGACA
RNAcentral lists this transfer RNA (74 nucleotides) under Clostridiales bacterium. RNAcentral's name for it is "tRNA-Lys". It matches the Rfam family "tRNA". Rfam says of the family: Transfer RNA (tRNA) molecules are approximately 80 nucleotides in length. Their secondary structure includes four short double-helical elements and three loops (D, anti-codon, and T loops). Lineage: Bacteria; Bacillati; Bacillota; Clostridia; Eubacteriales. The record is from RNAcentral.